ACCUUCGGUGCUCUCUUUGGAAAGUUUUGGUUCUAUGGUCCAGUGGAAAGGAUAUUCCCCUGUCACGGGAAAGGC
RNAcentral lists this transfer RNA (75 nucleotides) under unidentified. RNAcentral describes it as "Shigella phage B2 tRNA-Arg". The record is from RNAcentral.